CCCAGGGCUGACACCCUGGGCUACCAGAUUCCGCUCCGUUGGGGCU
Molecule: small RNA, 46 nt
Rfam family: Acido-Lenti-1 RNA
Source: Rfam